Oryza barthii is the source of this 206-nucleotide non-coding RNA. The record is from Rfam. Lineage: Eukaryota; Viridiplantae; Streptophyta; Magnoliopsida; Poales; Poaceae.
AAAAAGACAAACCCUGACUUUUCUUGUCCAACUUUAACUGUCCGUUUUAUAUGAAUUUUUUUUAUAAUUCGUAUUUUUGUUGUUGUUAGAUGAUAAAACAUGAUUAAUAUUUUAUGGGUGAUUUGUCUUUUUAAUUUUUUUCAUAAUUUUUUUAAAUAAGACGGACUGUCAAAUAUUAGGCACGAAAAUUAAGGGUUGUCUUUUUU